GUGCUCAAUUUGACAACAUAUAUACUAAAACUGGAAUGAUACAGAGAAAAUUAACAUGGCCCCUGAGCAAGGAUGACACACAAAUUCAUGAAGCAUUCCAUAUAUUC
This is a small nuclear RNA of Perognathus longimembris pacificus (Pacific pocket mouse), 107 nucleotides long. The record is from RefSeq and is a predicted model, not a curated record. NCBI's taxonomy places the organism in Eukaryota, Metazoa, Chordata, Mammalia, Rodentia, Heteromyidae.